AGAGUUUGAUCCUGGCUCAGGAUGAACGCUAGCUACAGGCUUAACACAUGCAAGUCGAGGGGAAACGAUAUUGGAAGCUUGCUUCCGAUAGGCGGCGACCGGCGCACGGGUGAGUAACGCGUAUCCAACCUGCCCUUUACUCGGGGAUAGCCUUCUGAAAGGAAGUUUAAUACCCGAUGAAUUCGUUUAGUCGCAUGGCUUGAUGAAGAAAGAUUUAUCAGUAAAGGAUGGGGAUGCGUCCCAUUAGCUUGUUGGCGGGGUAACGGCCCACCAAGGCGACGAUGGGUAGGGGUUCUGAGAGGAAGGUCCCCCACAUUGGAACUGAGACACGGUCCAAACUCCUACGGGAGGCAGCAGUGAGGAAUAUUGGUCAAUGGGCGCGAGCCUGAACCAGCCAAGUAGCGUGGAGGACGACGGCCCUACGGGUUGUAAACUCCUUUUAUAAGGGGAUAAAGUUGGCCAUGUAUGGCCAUUUGCAGGUACCUUAUGAAUAAGCAUCGGCUAAUUCCGUGCCAGCAGCCGCGGUAAUACGGAAGAUGCGAGCGUUAUCCGGAUUUAUUGGGUUUAAAGGGAGCGUAGGCGGGCAGUCAAGUCAGCGGUCAAAUGGCGCGGCUCAACCGCGUUCCGCCGUUGAAACUGGCAGCCUUGAGUAUGCACAGGGUACAUGGAAUUCGUGGUGUAGCGGUGAAAUGCUUAGAUAUCACGAGGAACUCCGAUCGCGCAGGCAUUGUACCGGGGCAUUACUGACGCUGAGGCUCGAAGGUGCGGGUAUCAAACAGGAUUAGAUACCCUGGUAGUCCGCACAGUAAACGAUGAAUGCCCGCUGUCGGCGACAUAGUGUCGGCGGCCAAGCGAAAGCGUUAAGCAUUCCACCUGGGGAGUACGCCGGCAACGGUGAAACUCAAAGGAAUUGACGGGGGCCCGCACAAGCGGAGGAACAUGUGGUUUAAUUCGAUGAUACGCGAGGAACCUUACCCGGGCUUGAAUCGCAGGUGCAUGGGCCGGAGACGGCCCUUUCCUUCGGGACUCCUGCGAAGGUGCUGCAUGGUUGUCGUCAGCUCGUGCCGUGAGGG
RNAcentral lists this ribosomal RNA (1073 nucleotides) under human gut metagenome. RNAcentral describes it as "bacterial SSU rRNA". It matches the Rfam family "Bacterial small subunit ribosomal RNA", at positions 8 to 1073 of the family's 1533-position model. The record is from RNAcentral.